UACGGGGGGAGCAAGCGUUGUUCGGAUUUACUGGGCGUAAAGGGCGCGUAGGCGGCCUCUGCAAGUCGACUGUGAAAUCUCCGGGCUUAACCCGGAAAGGUCAGCCGAUACUGCAGGGCUAGAGUGCAGAAGGGGCAACUGGAAUUCCCGGUGUAGCGGUGAAAUGCGCAGAUAUCGGGAGGAACACCAGUGGCGAAGGCGGCACUCUGGGCCGGAACUGACGCUGAGGAGCGAAAGCGUGGGGAGCGAACAGG
Molecule: ribosomal RNA, 254 nt
Filed under: uncultured bacterium
Lineage: Bacteria
Description: partial 16S ribosomal RNA
Rfam family: Bacterial small subunit ribosomal RNA
Source: RNAcentral